Long non-coding RNA from Perca fluviatilis (European perch), 1106 nucleotides. RefSeq lists it as uncharacterized. The transcript has 3 exons. NCBI's taxonomy places the organism in Eukaryota, Metazoa, Chordata, Actinopteri, Perciformes, Percidae. The record is from RefSeq and is a predicted model, not a curated record.
AUUACAAUGUUGCCAUGUGUUUUUAGUCUGUUAUUCAGUUUGUUGUCUCCCCAGUGUCAACAUUUCCAGCCUUAUCCCUAGCAAAGAGAAAUAUUUGCUCAGCAACCUUCAAUCCAAACUUGGUUGUAGUUUAUCUUCCAUCACUAAGAAUGUGGUGACUGAUGGCGAUGAUGAGCUGAAGGGGUUUUCAGCGGUUCCUAUCUUGGCAGUGAGUCGUACAACAUCUGUAAACUGGAUCUCCCUGAGGAUUUGGUACGUCAGCCAAGUCUGUACAAGUUAAUGCAGAAAGCAGGGGCUCAAAGCCAGGGCUGUGUACGGACACCAGAUUUCAGCACACACACAGAAUGGACAGAUUGCUCACCGUAAGGAGACAGUUUAUUGAAGACUCCACCUAUAAGUAAUUUCUGACUGUUGGUGCUGAAAACAAACCAACAAACCAUGGUAUCUUUCUUUUUUAUUUGUAAAAUGUUAAGCAAAUAUUUCCAUGAGGCAACCACAUGUCUGUAAAAGACACUCAGACAAAGGAGGGGUCUAACCUCUGGAUGGUAACACCCACUAAGAGCAGCUAUGGAUUUGUUGAGGCAGGUUACUGUCUCAUGUAUGAAUGGCUUGUUUCCCUCCUCUCUUUCUGUUUGUCUCAUCAUUUAGGGUGGUCGGUGGGCAGGCUUUGGUUAAGGAGUGGCGCUGUCAUACAGGAUCAGAGGCUGACAUGUCAACAGCUGUUCACUGUUGGCUUUAGGCCACAUCCUGUGAUUUCAGACAAUAAUUCUUUAAUGAUGCAUUUAUAGGCUGCCAGAUAAAAAUGGAUAAUAUUUUUGGUGUAAAAAUAGACCAAGAAAGGAGGGGUUGGUUGUAAAAGAGGAAGGGGCACUUAAAGCAGAACAUCUGAAUUCAAGGUCCAGAUAGAGUGGGUCAGGAAAGGACACAAUACAGCAUACUGCACUAUCAAACUUAAAGGAAAAUGAUUUGUUCUUAGUAGUAUCUAUGAUUCAGGAGUACAUUAUACCAGUUUAUUGUAUAAAUCAGUGCUGGGCCAACUCCUUUUCUAAUAUACUGUAAAUCUAAAUGUUAGCGUGCUUAUGAAAUAAACAAUUAUAUGGCUGGAA